This 492-nucleotide ribosomal RNA is filed under the name uncultured bacterium. RNAcentral's name for it is "partial 16S ribosomal RNA". It matches the Rfam family "Bacterial small subunit ribosomal RNA", at positions 29 to 507 of the family's 1533-position model. The record is from RNAcentral.
AGUGAACGCUGGCGGUAGGCCUAACACAUGCAAGUCGAACGGCAGCACAGUAAGAGCUUGCUCUUACGGGUGGCGAGUGGCGGACGGGUGAGGAAUACAUCGGAAUCUACUUUUUCGUGGGGGAUAACGUAGGGAAACUUACGCUAAUACCGCAUACGACCUACGGGUGAAAGCAGGGGAUCUUCGGACCUUGCGCGAUUGAAUGAUCCGAUGUCGGAUUAGCUAGUUGGCGGGGUAAAGGCCCACCAAGGCGACGAUCCGUAGCUGGUCUGAGAGGAUGAUCAGCCACACUGGAACUGAGACACGGUCCAGACUCCUACGGGAGGCAGCAGUGGGGAAUAUUGGACAAUGGGCGCAAGCCUGAUCCAGCCAUACCGCGUGGGUGAAGAAGGCCUUCGGGUUGUAAAGCCCUUUUGUUGGGAAAGAAAAGCAGCAGGUUAAUACCCCGCUGUUCUGACGGUACCCAAAGAAUAAGCACCGGCUAACCUCGUG